RNAcentral lists this long non-coding RNA (3718 nucleotides) under Taeniopygia guttata (zebra finch). RNAcentral describes it as "lncRNA (ENSTGUG00000022968.1)". Lineage: Eukaryota; Metazoa; Chordata; Aves; Passeriformes; Estrildidae. The record is from RNAcentral.
CUUUUUUUUCUUUUUUUUUUUUCCUAAGGAAUGCUCUGCAGCAAAUUUCCUCACCGAGUCCUGCCCGUGGAUUUUUGAGGAGGAAUUUUUGGGAGGAUUUGUGGGAAAACUCUUCCCGGCGCGGCGCCGCUUGGCGGAGCUGCUUCCCCCAGGAAAAACUCCGGGAUAGGAAUUCCCAACCUGCAGCCUCGGCCCCGCUCAUCCCAAAUCCCGAGAAAACCUGGGAAUUUCUGCUCCCUCAGCGGGUUCCCGUGGGCGGGAGGCGAAGGAACCACGAAUCCCAAAUUCCUCCAAUCCGCAAACACGGGCCCUGCUAAUCCUGGAUUUGGGAAUUUGGGAUUUUUAAUUUUAUUUUUGGGAACAAAAAAUCACCUCCAGAGGGUUCAGUUCCCACCUCCAGGCUCCACUUCUCACGGUCUCCAAAAAAAUUGGAAUAACAAAAUUCCCUCUGGUCCCGUCUCAAGGCAGAUGCAUUUUUGAAGGAGAAAAACAGGAAUUUCGGGAAAGACUCGGAUAGGGAGGGAAGGGCGAGCACAGGGCAGCUUGUGCCUCCAUGGAUGGGCUGAAAAUCGGGAAAAACGGGGGGAAAUUUGUUAUUCCUUUUUUUAUUUUAUUUUUACUCCUUCUUAUUCCUUAUUUUAUUAUAUUAUUUGCCUGGGUUUUUUUUUGUUUGGGUUUUUGUUGUUUUGUUUUGGGUUUUUUGGGGUGUUUUUUUGGUUUUUUUUUUGUUUUUUGUUUGUUUGGGGGUUUUUUUGUUGGUUUUUUUUGUUUUGUUUUUUGGGGGUUUUUGUUUGUGUUUUGGUUUUUUGUUUUUUUUUUUUUUUUUUGUUUUGUUUUGUUUUGGUUUUUUGUUUGUUUUGUUUUUUGUUUGUUUGGUUUUUUGUUUGUGUGGGUUUUUUUUGUUUGUUUGGUUUUUUUGUUUGGGGUUUUUUUGGGAUUUCUCCUUCCCAGAGCUGAUUUGGGCAUUCCAGUUGAAUUUUUAAUCGAGUUAAAAAUGAAGCUGAGAAGGGGAAGGGUGUGGAAAUUUUAAUUAUUUAUCCCUGGGGAUGUUUUCUGCAGCAGCAGCCCCGACGGGGAAAAAAAGAGGGAAAAAAUUCCCAAACUCCAUCGGGCUGAGCUCAUGUUCCUAUUUAAUUCCCGGCUGUUAAAAUUCCAGCCAGCUCCAGGGGGGCUGGAAAAGCGAGCGCGGCUCCGGUUGCGCUUAACCCCUGCGGGGAUUCCCGAAUUUCUCAGGAAUUUUGGGCUGGAGAGGAUUUGCACUGGAAUUCCUGCGGGAUUUGGGAUUUUUCCCGAUGUUCCCAAACCUCUGCAGGUGCCUCCAAACUGCCACCCCUGCCCCAUCCUGAGCUGCUGGAAUUCCCUGCUGGGAUUUUUGCCUCGGGAUUGAUCCCCUGGGGAAUAUUUUGGGAAUUGGGAGUUUGGAAAAGCCCUGGGCAGUGGGAAGGGAGAGGAGCCCCGGUAAAAUCCCGUGGGAUUUAUUUUGGGAAUGGGAUGGAGGAGGGGGAUUGUCCCAUCCCAAAGUCUUGUCCCGGUCCCCUGCUCCCACUUAUUCCCACUUUUCCUUGUCCCCAUCUCCUGGUUUCCUCAAAUCCCCUUUUUUUGUCCCAUUUAUCCCCAGCCCAAAUUUUCCUCCUUGUCCCCUCAUCCCUUCUCCUGCUUUUCUCCAUUUCUUCCUCCCACUUUUCCUCAUCCCCAUCUCAUUUUUUUCCAUUCCUCCCACAGAUGGGAUUUUCUCCUUUCGCAAAUUACCCCAAAAGUGGAAAACCGGGAAGAAAAAUCCCUUUAAAACAGGUUCCCAGGGAAAUGGAAUCGUUUCUUUAUUCCAUGUUUUGGUCGCAUUUUCCCCUCAUUCCCGUAUCUCCCUGUCCUGCUUGUCCCCUCUCCUCAUCCCCUGAAUUCCAUGAGGGAUUAAUGCCAAAAAACCAAUUAAUUUGGAGAUAAACCCAACCCCUCCAGCCCCAAAAUCAGGGAUUUUCUCCCAAAGCUUUUCCCACCAAAUUUUUCCGUUCUCCAUCAUUUUGGCCAUCCCUGGACAACGUUUCCCACAUUUCCCCGUGCCUGAUUUUGGGAUGAUUCUGCAGAUGGGAUUUUUCUCCUUCCACCAACAACCCAAGAGCAGAAAACCAGGGAGAAAAAUCCCCCUGAACCAGGUUCCAAAAACACCCCAGGGAAACGGAACAAUUCCUUUUUUUUUCCAAAGCAAACAUUGGAAAAACGAGUUCAUAAAGGGAUUUUUGGGCCUCCUGUUCCUGCAGACAUUUCCCAGGCACCACGUCAUUUAUUGCUGGGGAGGGGGAGGGAGCCACGGAUCCAGAGGGUUUGGAAAGGAAAAAAAUGGGGAAAACUGGGAAAAAAAAUCCUGUUUUCCUUUGGGAAAACCUUGGGAGGUCUCGGUGUUGUUUUCCCAAUUUUAAUUAAUUUUUUUUUUAAACCUUGUUGUUGAAAUGGGAUGGAAACAUCUCGGGUUGCUAAAAUUAAAGGGAAUGGGGAGAAUUUGGGAUCGAUUCCACAGGAUUGGAGCAAACAUCUCCGGUUCUUUAGGAUGGGGGAUGCUGGGGGGGUUCCUGAGCUGCUUUUUUCCCUUAAAAAUCCCAUUUUAGGGGGAAACAAUGUCCAGGUGAGCAGGGAAAGGGCAGCAGUGGGGGAAGAGUUGGAUCCCUGGUUUUGGGUGGUCCUGGAGCCAUCGGUGGAUUUUUUUUGUUGGAAAAUACCUGGAAAAGUUUCCCCUCCAACCACAUCCCAAGGGAUCCCCCCAGUCACAUCCCAUUCCAGGUGAUCCCCGUGUCCCACCCUAAAUCCACCCCAGGUCCCAUCCCAGGGGUACCUCAUGGUCCAUUCCAUGGAUUCCUCUUCUGCCAUUCCAGGUGUUCCCAUCCCAGAUUAUCCUGACUCCAAAUCCCACACUGGAUGACCCCACAGAACCCAUCCCAGGUGACCCCUAUCCCAAAUCCCACACUGGAUGACCCCACAGAACCCAUCCCAGGUGACCCCUAUCCCAAAUCCCACACUGGAUGACCCCACAGAACCCAUCCACGGUGACCCCUAUCCCAAAUCCCACACUGGAUGACCCCACAGAACCCAUCCCAGGUGACCCCUAUCCCAAAUCCCACACUGGAAGAUCCUCCAGAAUCCAUUCCAGGUUAUCCCAGGUGAUUCCCAGUUCCCAUCCCAGGUGAUCCCUGUUCCACAUCCCAUCCGUCCAUCCCCAUCCCGACCAAGUUUUAGGGUGGAAAAUCGGGAUGUGGAGGGAUCAGGGAUGCUCCAAACUUCCCAGGCUCCAAGUGCAUCCCCUGGACCUAAAUUAAUUUAAUUAUUAACCAGCACCAGAUGGAAUUCCAUCGGUCAUGGAUCUGCCGGGUGGGAUCCUGCAAUUCCAUCAGCUCCUUCUCCUCCAGAGGGACAUUUUGGGGAUGAAAACCUGGAUUUGGGAAGGAAAAUCCCCUAAUUUUCCUGCUGAAAAAAACAGGACCAUCCUGUCUGUUCAUGUGUCCAGCCCAAGGGAUGCUGGUGGGAAUUUCCCAGUGCUCUCCUGAACACCAAAUUUGGGGAAAAAUGGGAAAACAAGGAUGAACUUUCUCCGUUGUUGAUGGAGCUGCCGGGCCGGGAUCCGGGCUCCUGUUUAGGAUCAUCGUUAGGAAAAACCAUCCCGGGGUAAGCAGAGAGGAAAAAACGCUCCGGAAAUUAAACAACCCCAAAAUAGAAGGAGAAAAAAAAAAAA